GCUAACUACUACUGUAAGUCGCUCUGGAUAAGAGCGUCUGCUAAAUUACGUAUA
Molecule: non-coding RNA, 54 nt
Organism: Salmo salar (Atlantic salmon)
Lineage: Eukaryota; Metazoa; Chordata; Actinopteri; Salmoniformes; Salmonidae
Source: Rfam